Molecule: non-coding RNA, 2128 nt
Organism: Paramuricea clavata
Lineage: Eukaryota; Metazoa; Cnidaria; Anthozoa; Malacalcyonacea; Plexauridae
Source: the annotation of a GenBank genome assembly
UUCUCUGGCCUCUUCUUAUUUCCCGGUUUUCUGCCUCCAUCAAGGAUUACAUUGUAUUUGUUGGUAACUCAGUUUUAAUGCAUGGCAAUAAUCGUAAGUCCCUUCUUGGUUCCAGCUCGUGGACAGGGUAUCUCACAGCUUUUCGUCUAAAUUUCUCGUAGUCUGUUCUUAAGUGUGACGGUUAUUAAACUUACUGCUAAUCUUGUUGCGUGAAUUCCUGUUAAUGAUACUGUAGGUGUUGUUGUUAGUGUGUAAUUAAUUUAAUGAAUAAAUAUACUUGUGUUAACUGUUACUUUAGGCGGUUGUUGCGUCAAGUUCUAGCCGGAUGGCUUGGGAAAAGGAGAAUGCCUAUUAUAUCUUAUUCACUAAUAAAUUACUCUCUGAGUAGGCAGAUGCCUGUUUCAUUGUGUAGCGGGGGACUGCACUUGCCGGGUGGCUAUGGAGUGCAUGACGUUUUAAAACAUGUUUGGAGACUUUUCCCUAACUGUAGAUUUGUGUUUUUCAGGAUUGUACUCCUUGUUGGAGAGUGGCCGUCAUGGCUAUAAGGAAACAAAUAAUUUCUCAAGUCCUGCAUUCUCGAGCUGCUUCUACGGUUAAGAGUUAUCUCACCCAAUACCGAAAAUUUACCAACUUCGUGAAGGAAUCCCAAAUUCCUGGAAAAUUUCCCUACUCUACCCUGGUUAUUUCGCACUAUCUUUCCGACCGCAUAGAAACAAAAAGUCGUGUAGCGUUACAUUACAAUCGCAAUGCGCCACAAAGUGGGUUCAUGAUCUUGUUCCCCUGGCAUCAAAACCAGCAGAUGCAUCUUUGAUCCGUAAUAUUAUAGAAGACGGUAAACGAUCCCCUCGCACUACGUCGUGCGAAAAGGAACCCAUUUCGAUCGACACCUUAGCUAAGAUAGUGGCCAAGUACGCAACGCUCGACUCCGAGCUUAAAGAUCUGCGCACGGCACUUUUGUACGUUCUGGGUUUUUUUGUGUUGUUUCGUGCCAGCGAGCUGACUAGCAUCAAGGCGAAGGAUAUAACUUGCAAUCAAUCACGAUCAUCUCAAGACUGACCAGUAUCGCAAAGGCAAUCCGGUUUUCAUCGCACAAACUAACGGACAUCUGUGUCCACAUGCUUUUCUUCUUCGUUUUUUUUUUCUUUAGCUAGCAUUCACCCAGUUUCAGACCAAUAUAUCUUCAGAUCUUUCCAAGCUUCCCGUCGUGGUACAACAGCAACUGGCCUUGCUUCUAAACGUCUUAGUUACACAAGGUUACGUGAAAUCAAGAGACUAUAUCUAAUAUUGGUCUUUAUCCCAAACAGUAUAGUACGCAUAGUUUACGAUCUGGUGGAGCCUCGUUCACGGCAAAUUCUCAAGGGAACAAUCCUAAUUUAAAUCGUUUGCUUAUUAAACUUCAAGGCAGAUGGAAAUCCGACACCUCGAAAGACAUGUAUUUGAAAGACUCUUUAGAAAGUAGAUUGACUUUAACAAAGGCAUUACCUAUUAUCGGAAAUACGUGAACACAGAAAAUAUAUGUCCAUAUCAUAAACACAUCAAGUCAAUUGUAAAAAAUAAUCAUAAAUAAAAAAUUAUUUUGCCAGGCAAGUGCUUGCACGUCGCAUGCCAUCAAUGUUUGUGUAUAUGUGCUUAGUGGAAAGGAGAAGGAAAAUGAUUUUCCUUCGGAUGAACGUAGUGAAGUGAGAAGGAAAUACGCCAGUGCUUCAAUUCAAUGGAGAAUUUCAACAUAAAUAAAUUACGGAAACUCACUAUAAAUACUGAGAAAUAUUUUUACCAUCCUUGUUUUAGUAGAAGCUUCACGAUUUUCGAGCCUAGUCAGCCUACGGUGUACGUGAUAAUAUAAAGUAAACUAUAUGUUUUCCGGGGUAGAGGAAACUUUUCUGUGACAACGCGGUAUAAAGUGAGUCAUUUUGUGACGCAAAGAAUCGCUACUGAUCUCACUUGCUAUUUAUUGUUUGUUUAUCGUAUAAAAACAUAAUAAUCUAUUUGUAAAUAUUGUAUGCGUAAUUGGUAAGCAUUUGUGUCAAAUUGGAUUGUUAAUAAUAACAACUGCAUGAGCUAUCCAGCUGUUAAGUUCCAAAUUACAAUAUAAAACAUACUCCGAAUCCUGAAUAUACAUAUUGUGCGC